CUGUUUACUUCCUUGUCUACUUAAUGUUGCUUCUUACAGGAAGUAUGUAGCUUUAAAAGGUUGAAUCAUUAUUUAUGAGCAUCAGAAUAGCUGAAAGGUGUCACUGCAACAUUACCCAAUGCAACUGCAUUGAAAAUGGAUUUGUGUGAGAAAACACUAUUGGAGGCCAACAUUUUUAGUGCAUCCAUAGGAAGCGUCUCCACUACAGCCUUUCACCACACGAGAGACAGACUGAAGAUGUAGGCAGCUGACAAAUGUGAAAGCAAUGAAGAAGUGUUCUGAGGUUGACAGCACUUUUCAUAGUACACGCAUUUUCUGGGAAAGGCACGAGAAGGGAGAUAAACAGGCAAUGGUUUUGGCAAGCUGAGAAGAAGCUGUAGCAGACCAAGAUGUUCCAAAGAGAUCACAUCAAAAAGGUAAGGGUGCCAACACCCUGUACUUUUCUCCUUGUACGUUCUUCUCUG
Molecule: long non-coding RNA, 464 nt
Filed under: Serinus canaria (Common canary)
Lineage: Eukaryota; Metazoa; Chordata; Aves; Passeriformes; Fringillidae
Description: lncRNA (ENSSCAG00000012556.1)
Source: RNAcentral